This 1546-nucleotide ribosomal RNA is filed under the name bacterium. RNAcentral's name for it is "bacterial SSU rRNA". It matches the Rfam family "Bacterial small subunit ribosomal RNA". The record is from RNAcentral.
UUUUUGAAGAGUUUGAUCCUGGCUCAGGAUUAACGCUGGCGGCGUGCCUAACACAUGCAAGUCGAACGAGAAAGGUCUCUUCGGAGGCUUAGUAAAGUGGCGCACGGGUGAGUAAUACAUAGGUAAUCUACCUCUAAAAUUGACAUAACUUCGAGAAAUCGGAACUAAUAUUGGAUAAUAUCCUAGAGAUGUAGGUUUUUAGGAUUAAAGAUGGCCUCUACAUGUAAGCUAUCGUUUAGAGAUGAGCCUUUGUCCUAUCAGCUAGUUGGUGAGAUAAUAGUUCACCAAGGCUAUGACGGGUAGCCGGCCUUAGAGGGUGUACGGCCACACUGGGACUGAUACACGGCCCAGACUCCUACGGGAGGCAGCAGUGGGGAAUUUUGCGCAAUGGACGAAAGUCUGACGCAGCGACGCCGCGUGGGUGAUGAAGGUCUUCGGAUUGUAAAACCCUGUUAAGCAAGAUGAAAUAUCUAUUGCAUAAUACGUAAUAGAUUUGACAGUAUUGCUAGAGAAAGCCCUGGCUAACUCCGUGCCAGCAGCCGCGGUAAUACGGGGAGGGCGAGCGUUAUCCGGAAUCACUGGGUGUAAAGGGUGUGUAGGUUGCAGGAUAAGUCAGAUGUGAAAUCCAUUCGCUUAACGGAUGAACUGCAUUUGAAACUAUCCAGCUAGAGUAUAGAAGAGGAAAGUGGAAUUCCUAGUGUAGCGGUGAAAUGCGUAGAUAUUAGGAAGAACACCAGUGGCGAAGGCGACUUUCUAUUCUAAUACUGACACUGAGGCACGAAGGCUAGGGGAGCAAACAGGAUUAGAUACCCUGUUAGUCCUAGCAGUAAACGAUGGACACUAGGUGUGGGAGGUAUUUAUACCUUUCGUGCCGUAGCUAACGCGUUAAGUGUCCCACCUGGGGAGUACGGUCGCAAGACUGAAACUCAAAGGAAUUGACGGGGGCCCGCACAAGCGGUGGAGUAUGUGGUUUAAUUCGACGCUACGCGAGAAACCUUACCGGGGUUUGACAUGUAUUUGACAGAUAUAGAAAUAUAUUCUCUCUUCGGAGCAGAUACACAGGUGCUGCAUGGCUGUCGUCAGCUCGUGUCGUGAGAUGUUGGGUUAAGUCCCGCAACGAGCGCAACCCUUAUCGUUAGUUGCUAACAGGUUAUGCUGAGAACUCUAGCGAGACUGCCGGUGAUAAACCGGAGGAAGGUGGGGAUGACGUCAAGUCCUCAUGGCCCUUAUGUCCCGGGCUACACACGUACUACAAUGGGGUAUACAAAUGGUUGCAAGACUGUGAAGUGGAGCCAAUCCCAAAAAGUAUCGCUCAGUUCGGAUUGCAGGGUGAAAUUCGCCUGCAUGAAGUUGGAAUCGCUAGUAAUCGCAGAUCAUCUUGCUGCGGUGAAUACGUUCCCGGGCCUUGUACACACCGCCCGUCACACCAGCUGAAUCAGGUGUACCCGAAGCUCCCGAGUAUUCGGGAAAUAAGGUAUGCUUGGUGAGGGGGGUGAAGUCGUAACAAGGUAGCCGUAUCGGAAGGUGCGGCUGGAUCACCUCCUUU